Ictidomys tridecemlineatus (thirteen-lined ground squirrel) is the source of this 922-nucleotide long non-coding RNA. RefSeq lists it as uncharacterized. The record is from RefSeq and is a predicted model, not a curated record. Lineage: Eukaryota; Metazoa; Chordata; Mammalia; Rodentia; Sciuridae.
GGUCUGAGCGGAACUAAGGAUCGCGACAGGGUCCACACGGUGCCCGGGCGCCGCCCGCACGCCGGCGGGCGUUCUGCCACCGGCGUUUCACAGACGAGCAACGGGCACAGUUCUGGGCUGUGUUACGGGGUUGACGAGAUUGUGAUAGGUUAAAGGAAUGUGGGGGGAACACGCAGACCACAGGGGCAGGGGAUCCCGUAAAUAGGCCUGGCCGGAAAACAGUUGGCUGUGAAGGAGACCACACCUGAUACUGUGCGUGCGUGUGCGUGCGCGUGUGAUCACGGAAGUCUAGAUUUUUAUUCUAGCUCGUUGCCCACGGCACGUCACACCUAUAUGGUGUGUAACUGGUAUUUUUUAAAGGAAAAGACCAGGGUGUGUCUACGAGCUGGCCAGCUGGCCGGGAGCGCUUCGGGGACUGGUGGAUGAGGGCGCGAUCUCCAGCUGGGCACGGUGGCACACGCCUGUGACACCAGUGAGGCCACCCUCAGCGACUUGGCAAGGCCAGGUCUCAAAAUAAAAAGAGGCGGGUUGUGCUCAGCAGUGGAACUCCCGGGGCCCAUCCCCGGGGACGCACCUGCACACCUCAGGAAGUCCCCGUGGAGAACGCGUGGCAAUCAGCUUUAGGAAGAGCGGAUGCGGAUGCAGGCAUCAACCCAGAAUGUACAUCUGAAGGAUGUCAAUUGGAAAUUGGGAAGUGAAGCGACAGCUUGGAUUAGAAGUCUGAAGCGUGGAGUGCAGAGGGAGAAAGAGCAGCUGCCAGUCUCCCUGCCGCCCAACCGCCCGACCACCUUGCCGCGCUCCUCCAAUCUCAUACCUCUUUGAGGGCAGAAUCUCUCCUUCUACAGAAUGUGGUUGCGAAUUUCUCUUCAUCCUUCAAAAAUGAGUUGAAGAAAAAGAAUAAUUAAAAACAUUUUUUAUUUCA